UUGUAACAUGGGCCAGUGCUAAAGGGUCCUGCCCAACAACUACUGACAGGUGCUGUCGGGGCAGGGACCCUUUAGCAUCGGUUCUAAUUACCAA
Molecule: microRNA precursor, 94 nt
Organism: Sorghum bicolor (sorghum)
Lineage: Eukaryota; Viridiplantae; Streptophyta; Magnoliopsida; Poales; Poaceae
Rfam family: MIR5387 microRNA precursor family
Source: Rfam